This 253-nucleotide ribosomal RNA is filed under the name uncultured bacterium. Its description in RNAcentral is "partial 16S ribosomal RNA". It matches the Rfam family "Bacterial small subunit ribosomal RNA", at positions 524 to 776 of the family's 1533-position model. The record is from RNAcentral.
UACGGAGGGGGCUAGCGUUGUUCGGAAUUACUGGGCGUAAAGCGCGCGUAGGCGGACCUGCAAGUCGGGGGUGAAAGCCCGAGGCUCAACCUCGGAACUGCCUUCGAUACUGCGGGUCUCGAGUCCGGGAGAGGUGAGUGGAAUUCCUAGCGUAGAGGUGAAAUUCGUAGAUAUUAGGAAGAACACCAGUGGCGAAGGCGGCUCACUGGCCCGGUACUGACGCUGAGGCGCGAAAGCGUGGGGAGCAAACGGG